Molecule: ribosomal RNA, 336 nt
Filed under: Triticum aestivum (bread wheat)
Lineage: Eukaryota; Viridiplantae; Streptophyta; Magnoliopsida; Poales; Poaceae
Description: partial small subunit ribosomal RNA
Source: RNAcentral
AUGGAUUGUGUCAGCUGUCAGUUGGCAGCGGGAGAUGUUCUGGUAUUUAUGGAUUUAAGCCUUUUUAACUGGAAUGUGAGGGGAGUGCACAACCCGACUAAGAGGAGGGCAGUAGCCAAAAUGAUUGAUGAGUUUAAGUGUAACAUUAUUUGCUUGCAAGAGACAAAAAUGGAACUGAUGGGCAGGGCCCUUGUGGCUGAAUCUGUUGGUGCCAGAUUUUCAUAUAAUUUUGUUUUCAAGCUUGCGGAUGGCACCCGAGGAGGCAUCUUGAUUGCUGUUUCUGCAAAUUUCUCGAUUGAGCCUUUGCUUUUGGUGCCUGAUGAAUUCACUCUUUAG